Molecule: long non-coding RNA, 5714 nt
Filed under: Lingula anatina
Lineage: Eukaryota; Metazoa; Brachiopoda; Lingulata; Lingulida; Lingulidae
Description: uncharacterized LOC106154961
Source: RNAcentral
ACAAUUAUAUAUGUUUACAUAUGUCGUAUGUUAAAUUAUACAUGUGUUAAUGCAAUUUAUGCUAUAAUAUUAAUUAAUUAAGCUAUUCACAGCAUUAUUGACAGUAAGUGGCUGUGAUAUACUAGAUUUCAGGUGAACUAUGUAUUUUAACAGCAGUCUUUACAAAUUCUGCUAUUACUUUGAUACUUUUAGGACAGGGUGGAUUAAGGAGAAUAAGGAGAUAUGGGACAAUGAAUAUGUAUCAUUCAGAGACCUCCUACCUCAUACGUCAUUGCCAAAGUGAGGAAAAGAUUGCCAAAGUAGAUGUUAAUGACAGUGAGAAUCGCCUCCCUUACACCCAAAUUGAUGUGGGCAUACUUACAGAAAAGGCACUCAAGGAAAGUUAAACAAAGAAUGCGGCAAGUGACAGAGAGGUCAUGGGGUUCAAGUUAGAAUGCAAACUGUUCAUGAUGAAAACCACUGAAAAGAUCCUACAUAUGUGUCCAAUUUCCUAUUCACUGGUUCGGAACAUGCCUGCUCUAAACCCAAGGGAGAUGGCAGCUGACAGAUGCAUGCAGAUCAAAUUUAAGAAAGUUCUGAACCUGUUAGCAAGUGGAAACAGAAUAGAUGCAAAUGAUAGUGACAGGCCUGAUAAUUUUCAAGUACAUGUAUGAAACCUGAUGAUUCUUAAUCUAAAUUGCUUGAAGUGUGCAAAUUACUUCUGGUUCUGUCACAUGGCCAGGCAAACGUUGAAAGGGGUUUUUCUGUCAAUAAAGAAAUAGAGGUUGAAAAUUUAGGAGAUGAAAGCCUUGUUGCACAGAAAAUGGUGUGUGAUCAUGUUAAAGUGAUUGGUGGGAUCCUACAAGUACCUAUUACAAAUGCGGUUCUUGCAUCUGCAGCCUCUUCCUGGCAAAAAUAUGAGGUUUAUUUGGAUAAACAGAGAGAGAAAAAAAAUCUAAGAUGGAAAAGAGAAAAAGAAUGGACACUUUGGAGGAAAUCGAGGAACUGAUGUGGGUGGGAGGUCCCAGACGCAGUGCUCCUGGCUGAAAUUAAGUUCAUUCAAAAAACACAAGAGCAGCCUUUUUGUCCAUCUAAAACCUGCUUCCAAGAGAUAUAGCAGAUAUGAGUAUCAAAAAUAAAGGCAGGGGAUUUUAUGAAUAUCACAAACAAUUUAGCAUCAGGGCGACAGCAUAUCUAGCACAUCAUGUAUCUGGAUGAAAAAUCUGGAUAUUUGCUUCUUAAAAGAGUGGAUGAGAGGACGUGCAAUUGAGAGAUCCAAAGCAAUUUACUAUUUGGAGCAAGCUAAAGAGCAGUUAAGGUAAGAAUUACUUUUAUUACCUUUAUUAGACACUAAAGGAAGUCUACAUUGGAAGCAUGUACUCAAGUAGCUGAAAGCAGCAGUUCAAAAAAUAAUAAAAAUUGUGUGGUCACAAGUGUAUGUGGUGAAAGUGCCUGUCACUCUAGAAUUCCAUUUUACUAGGUUAACGCUAUUAUAAUUACAUCAUUAUUACAAUAAUUUAUUAUCAGUAAAAGUACUGGCCGGUAAGUAUUAUUGUGUAGUAUUAGUGUAUAGUUUAGGCAUUUUUUACUAUUUGAAUCCCAUUUUCGCUGACACAUUUAACAAAAUGGCGGGUCACGUGGCUAAGUUCUACGUCAAUUUUAUCACUGAUGAGCAACAACAGCAUAUACCUGAUAUAACAACAGGGCAGGCUUUAUUUGUUAAGAGCUCAAAAGGGCAACUUAACAAGAGAAAUGAUGCUAGAGUGGUUAGAGGGAAAAAUAUCCCCAGUUGCUUUAAGUGUUUUAGACUUUUUAACCAACCCUAACCCACCUGGGUCACAAGAUGAGGGGUCAAAGUCAACAUGGAUGCCAAACUUAGGAGGAGGGUGGCUGUGGCAAUCAGCUAAAAAAUUAUUUACUUCAAAUAAAAGAAAAGUGCCUCCUACUACACAGAUGCCUAGUAUGCCUGCACAGACUGAGGGCAGUGAAAGGACUUUCCUCAAAACCAUACCUAUGGGCACCAAGUUUUCAACUUCUCAUCCGUGCAAUAACCCUAGAUUCACUGAUGUGCCGGGACCAAGUGGUUUAUUUCCCAGCAACGCCAGCACAUCCUUUUUUCCGUCAAACCCUGGGGAUGAAAGACAGGAGAUUUCCAUGGAAGUGGACAAUGCCAGUGAUGUACCUUGGGUCAAAGGGCCCCCUUAGCCUGCGUUUCGCCACGACGUAAGAUUAACCCACCUAAAAAUCUUACAUUUAACGGUAAAGGUAGUUGGGCAGCAUUUAAGCUGGUAUUUUUGCAUCAUGCUGAGAGAGAACGUUGGGAUGAUGACAUGUCAUUGGAUGGGUUAUGUUUAUGCCUUAUAGGUAAGGCUCAGGAAUGCUGCGUUAAUGCCACUAAACGUGAAGGCACAUUGACAUAUCAAAGCCUAGUGGAAGAAUUAGAAAUGUGUUACGGAGAAACAGAUACUCCAGCAACAGUAGGCUCUCAGCUGCAUAAUGCGAAAUAGACUGAGACAGAGUCUGUUGAUGAAUGGGGAGUACGUCUUCUAAGGCCCGCGUCUCAAGCCUUCCCUAGUCUACCUAAGUCGUUUGUAGAUUUGGAAGUAGUAAAUAGAUUUUGUGCAGGAAUGUUGAACCCGGAAGUGGAGCAAGUUAUUUAUAUGCAGCGUCCAUCUACAUUGUAUGAAGCUAUGCAAUUGGCAAAAAUGCAUCGUGAGUUAAAGGUAACUAUGGAAACUAAAAAAAGGGCGUACUGGGACCAAAAGGGUCAUGUUGCAACACAGCCGUCUAAAGAGACAGAUACUUCUAAAACUGAAGAUUUUAGGGGUGAAAUAAGGAGCAUGCAGAAGGCAUUAAAAGAAAUACAACAGCAGAUGGCUCAAAGAUCAACUAAUUUUCUGCACACAGCAUGCCCUUUUGUAUAUUUACUGACAUAAGCUGGCAGGGCUUUUACCUCUGCUCAGGGAGUCUCACAUACUAACUAAACUUCAUUUGCAGGUAAUGGACCAACCACCAGGAAUCCCUUCCCUGGCACAGGGGGAGUACUCGGGCUCCCCCUAGAUCACGCACUUUACACGACGUAAAACGCAGAAGGCCACGACACCCUCGUCAAGUCACAGUCUCAGAAACACCACCAGAGAGCACAGGAACACUCAACACUUCCACAGCUGGCGCCAAUAUUGCACAGGCCCACAAAACUCUAGGCAUGCAAUCCACAGUCUCGGGAAGUCACACAUUUAUUAGAGUCCCUCAGCCAACAUGUGUGAUGGGAAACUCGGGUCCCUCCACAUCUGCCACACCACACCAGCCAGUCAUGGUUUUUUAUGGCCAACCCGCCGGAUUGCUGGCAACUCCCACAACAGGUGAGUCUAUGACUACUCAUAUUGAUAGCCACUUAAGUCAGUCCAUCCGCCUAAAAAUUUGGUACAAUGAAUAUGUGUCCUUCAAAGAUCUCAUUCCCAAAAAUUCAAACACCUUUAGUCUCCAUGACUCUUCAAUGGAUGAGCAGUUUGUACAUAAGCGUAAACAAGAUGCCAGCUGAUGGUAAUCUCCAUAUGAUUCUGGAACCAGUCCAGAAAAAAAGUGUCCCUAUCACCUUCCUACAGUGGCAGGCAGCUUUCAUCAUCUUUUCAGCGAUAUAUUUACAAAAGCAUCCCCAACAGGCUGUCCCACUGACCCAAUACAACAACAGAAUUCUAGAGAUGUAUGCCAAUAACACCUCAAAUUGGCAAACCUAGAUGAGCACUUUCGCUCCAACUACAAAUCACUAGCCUACAGCUGGGACAAACCAGACCCAGUUCUCUUGGCAGAUAUCAGUUUUAUCCAACGUCCCACAGGGGAACAGCCCUUUCAUUCACAGAGAAAGCCAUGCUUUCGCUGGAACAAUGGAUGAUACUGUGACACAGUAUACUCUAUCAUCAGGAUUCCCAGGAUUUUUUCUUCAAUGGCCUGAAAUUUGUCAAUUCCUGGCGAUUCAUGGGAUUCGUGGUCUGUGUGAAAUAGGGGCAUUAGCAGUUUCUUCUGCUGACUGGAACUGAGAACUCUGACAGAUUAUGAACAUUAUAGUAAAAUUACUAGUGGAGUAAAUGUCAACACAAUUGACAGAUUGUUAGGGGCCACUAAAUUUGACACACUGUCAGACUAUCAGAAGAAUGUUUCCUUGCUCUUUGAUGAGGUGAGGAUAAAAUCAGACUUGGUCUACUAUAAGCACACUGGAGAAUUGAUUGGACUUUGUAAUAUAGGAACAUUGAACCAGGAAUUAUUUAUAUUUCAGAAAAAUUUAGAAAUAAAUGGAAAUAAAGAAAAAGAAAAGGAAAUAAAGAAAAAGAUCUUGCCACCCAUGUUUUAAUGUUUAUGGUACAAGGAAUAUAUAUGCUGAUUUUCCUCCCCCCUGCCAUUUUACCCAUGCUGUGGCUUUACAAGUGAUCAGUUGUUUCCAGUUGUAUGGAAAAUGGUGGAAACAUUGGAAGACAUUGGCUUCAAGGUUCCGGCGACAGCAUGUGACAGUUCCAGUCCCAACAGGAGGUUUUAUAGGCUACACAAUGCUGUAUUGGUUGGAACUCCAGUGUAUAAAGUAAUUAACUUCUUUGCUGCCACACCACGCUACUUGUACUUCAUUGCAGACCCACCCCAUCUGAUCAAAACAACCAGGAAUAAUUGGGAAAACUCUGGUGCAAAUGGGAACAGUAGGAACUUUGUUUUUUUACGUGUCUUGUGAAUUCCUGCGUGAAAUAAAACCAAGAUCCAGUGAACAACUUAUGCUUUUCCUUGACUUAUAAUUUAUCUGUAUAGCCCUUGUGUGCUAUAAUUUCUAUGAAGAUUAAAAAAGGGCUCAAUUCAGUUUUUAAAUGUGCACUAUGUCAUGGAGCUCUUUCCAGAGUUAAUUAACACUUGGACUUGGUUCAAGAAUAAGAAAUCUUUUCCUUGGUAUACAAAAGCUCUUAGAGUUAUGUCAGUUGGUUGACACCAACGCCAUGCCAUGCUUCUUUUGUGAUAUUUGAAUGAUCAAAAAUGUAGUUGCUAUUCCAAACUGCAAUUUGAAAUGAUUAUAUUAUAUUAUGCUGGUGCUCAUUAUAUGGAAAGGAAAAUAAAUUUGCUUAUUUAACAAGUUUUCCAGCGCCAUGUGGAAGUUUACUGUCAUUAUUUUCAAAAAUGAAAAUAUAAUACUCCAAGUGUCCUGCCUAAUUUUGUGCUUUGUGUUUUUCACUACAAAAAUAACUAUUGCUAUUGUUCCUUAUUUUGUACAGAGCUGACCUCAAAAAUUUUUUAUUUCAUAUGAAAGAUUUUAUAAACGAACCCAAUGACAGUUUCGCAACCUGCUGUUUGUCAUUUACCUGUAUUAAAAUAGUGACUUGAAGGUAUACUUGUUUCUUGCAUCUCAUGCUGAGUUUAUUUAUUCAUUAAUUCAAUUUGUUUACAAAUUGUUAAUUCAUAAAUCCCAUUUCGUUGAAAUUCACAUAUAUUAAUCAAAAAGCGUGUUAUACUAAAAUAAGACUUUAUUCAUAACUUCAAUAUUUCUUCAGCUACAUUUUCAAGAAACACCCACACACUUAUGAAGAAAAAAAAAUAUUAAUUAACACAAGUACAAUUUUGUGCAACUUGCUGUUUGUCUUACUUGUAUUAAAAUUGUAAUUAUAUCAAUUAGAGCCUGUAGUACCAAAAUUAUUCUGUUCACAACUUCAAUAUCUCUUUCAAGUGCAUUAUUUAAAUGGAUUACAAACUUCACUUUUUCUGUC